AACAUUCAGGGUCCCCACUUAAACUCUCCAAAUCCAGGAGAAACCAUGCUGCAGUUUGCCAUGCCAUCCGUUAAACUCUGUGUACUGUGAGCCACCAUCACGUACGAGAAGAGCACCAGGCACAAGACCAAGAGUAUAUAACAUCCAAGAGAGUAAGCUGAGAGUAUAAAGCAGAAUGGAACCAAUUCAUCCACUGCAGUUGACGGUACACUAGGACUGAAUUUGGCCUAAUGCAUUUAAUCACGUUCACCAUGUGCCUGUGAUACAACUUUUAAAUAUUUUAUAUGAUUUGGAUCUUGUGUGAUUUCUUUUAAACUUGUAGAUUUAGAGAUGCCUGGAAUGCUGUGGCAGAUAAAUCAGUAGCAGGGGCUCUAAGUGAUUUGGAGGAUUCCUGGAAGAGGUGAAAACCUAAGUCACAGUGUUCAAAGCUGACCCAGCACUGACUGAAAACUUGGUACCUUCUGACAGCUAGUCAGUAAGGCUUAUGCGCAGGGAAGGGAAUGGGGGAUGCUUGCUGUAACUUUAGUGUGAAUAAAGGACUUCAGUCUCCUGAUCUGACAUCUCUUGGGAACACUCAAAUUGAUAAAGAUGAAAUUAAGUA
Long non-coding RNA from Dermochelys coriacea (leatherback sea turtle), 601 nucleotides. RefSeq lists it as uncharacterized. The record is from RefSeq and is a predicted model, not a curated record. NCBI's taxonomy places the organism in Eukaryota, Metazoa, Chordata, Testudines, Dermochelyidae. The transcript is spliced from 3 exons.